UGGGGCGCAAGCCUGAUCCAGCCAUGCCGCGUGUGUGAAGAAGGUCUUCGGAUUGUAAAGCACUUUAAGUUGGGAGGAAGGGCAGUAAGUUAAUACCUUGCUGUUUUGACGUUACCGACAGAAUAAGCACCGGCUAACUCUGUGCCAGCAGCCGCGG
Molecule: ribosomal RNA, 157 nt
Filed under: uncultured bacterium
Lineage: Bacteria
Description: partial 16S ribosomal RNA
Rfam family: Bacterial small subunit ribosomal RNA
Source: RNAcentral